RNAcentral lists this long non-coding RNA (271 nucleotides) under Gallus gallus (chicken). The record is from RNAcentral. Lineage: Eukaryota; Metazoa; Chordata; Aves; Galliformes; Phasianidae.
CCCAGGUCCUCGGUGGGGGUGUAGGUGAGGUGGGUGACGCCAUCGGUGACGGGGAUGCCAUCCCGCUGCCAGCUGAUAGUGAUGGCUGGGGGGAAGAUGUUGCCCACCAUACAGAUCAGAGUGUUGGGGUAGCCGAGCUGCAGAGGCUGCUGCAGGAAGACAUCGGCCACCGGGAUGCCCUUGGCUUCAGGCAUUGGGUUUGGCCCGGUGGCGAUUCUGGUGAGCAAAUCGAGCAGCUCACGGCACAGCGCGGCGUCGUGCAGCAGCUCGU